This 241-nucleotide ribosomal RNA is filed under the name Shigella flexneri. Its description in RNAcentral is "partial 16S ribosomal RNA". It matches the Rfam family "Bacterial small subunit ribosomal RNA", at positions 1 to 239 of the family's 1533-position model. The record is from RNAcentral. Lineage: Bacteria; Pseudomonadati; Pseudomonadota; Gammaproteobacteria; Enterobacterales; Enterobacteriaceae.
AAAUUGAAGAGUUUGAUCAUGGCUCAGAUUGAACGCUGGCGGCAGGCCUAACACAUGCAAGUCGAACGGUAACAGGAAGCGCUUGCUGCUUCGCUGACGAGUGGCGGACGGGUGAGUAAUGUCUGGGAAACUGCCUGAUGGAGGGGGAUAACUACUGGAAACGGUAGCUAAUACCGCAUAACGUCGCAAGACCAAAGAGGGGGACCUUCGGGCCUCUUGCCAUCGGAUGUGCCCAGAUGGG